RNAcentral lists this ribosomal RNA (472 nucleotides) under uncultured bacterium. RNAcentral's name for it is "bacterial SSU rRNA". It matches the Rfam family "Bacterial small subunit ribosomal RNA", at positions 355 to 825 of the family's 1533-position model. The record is from RNAcentral.
UGGGGAAUUUUGGACAAUGGGGGAAACCCUGAUCCAGCCAUGCCGCGUGUGUGAAGAAGGCCUUCGGGUUGUAAAGCACUUUCGGACGGAACGAAAUCGCACGGGUGAAUAUCCCGUGUGGAUGACGGUACCGUAAGAAGAAGCACCGGCUAACUACGUGCCAGCAGCCGCGGUAAUACGUAGGGUGCGAGCGUUAAUCGGAAUUACUGGGCGUAAAGUGUGCGCAGGCGGCUUCGCAAGUCGAGUGUGAAAUCCCCGGGCUUAACUUGGGAACGGCGCUCGAAACUACGGAGCUAGAGUAUGGCAGAGGGAGGUGGAAUUCCACGUGUAGCGGUGAAAUGCGUAGAGAUGUGGAGGAACACCAAUGGCGAAGGCAGCCUCCUGGGCCAAUACUGACGCUCAUGCACGAAAGCGUGGGGAGCAAACAGGAUUAGAUACCCUAGUAGUCCCUGAGCGGGCUGGCAAGGCGCAU